Molecule: non-coding RNA, 338 nt
Organism: Cinara cedri
Lineage: Eukaryota; Metazoa; Arthropoda; Insecta; Hemiptera; Aphididae
Source: the annotation of a GenBank genome assembly
CGACAAUAUCCCACGUAUAUUUCUUUAUGAACGCGCGGGGCGCGAACGGUUUUAAUACAUUAAAACGUUUAGGAAAAAAAAAAAAAAAAUCCUUUCGCGCGGAGUAGGUACUCGCCGUAGCGUUUUCGAUUCUAACGCGGCGGACGGGAAUCUGAAACCGUUCACAACACGAGACGUGCGCACACCUAUAACUGCGGGGCCUAAAUUACUGUAUCCCCCGACACACUUUGCGUCCCCUCAAAAUCAUAAUGUGUCCAUUGAAUUAUAAAUGCUUUUAGUUUUUGAUCGUAGAAACAACAAACGGUUUGGAAUUUCACCACAAACAAAUCACGUUUAUG